This 253-nucleotide ribosomal RNA is filed under the name uncultured bacterium. RNAcentral's name for it is "partial 16S ribosomal RNA". It matches the Rfam family "Bacterial small subunit ribosomal RNA", at positions 524 to 776 of the family's 1533-position model. The record is from RNAcentral.
UACGUAGGGUGCGAGCGUUAAUCGGAAUUACUGGGCGUAAAGCGUGCGCAGGCGGCGCCGCAAGUCAGGCGUGAAAUCCCCGAGCUUAACUUGGGAAUGGCGCUUGAAACUACGGCGCUGGAGUGUGGCAGAGGGAGGUGGAAUUCCACGUGUAGCGGUGAAAUGCGUAGAGAUGUGGAGGAACACCGAUGGCGAAGGCAGCCUCCUGGGCCAGCACUGACGCUCAUGCACGAAAGCGUGGGGAGCAAACAGG